Molecule: ribosomal RNA, 482 nt
Filed under: uncultured bacterium
Lineage: Bacteria
Description: partial 16S ribosomal RNA
Rfam family: Bacterial small subunit ribosomal RNA
Source: RNAcentral
GAUGAACGCUGGCGGCGUGCUUAACACAUGCAAGUCGAACGGUGAAGCCAAGCUUACUUGGUGGAUCAGUGGCGAACGGGUGAGUAACACGUGAGCAACCUGCCCUGGACUCUGGGAUAAGCGCUGGAAACGGUGUCUAAUACUGGAUAUGAACUCCUUCCGCAUGGUGGGGGUUGGAAAGAUUUUUCGGUCUGGGAUGGGCUCGCGGCCUAUCAGCUUGUUGGUGAGGUAAUGGCUCACCAAGGCGUCGACGGGUAGCCGGCCUGAGAGGGUGACCGGCCACACGGGGACUGAGACACGGCCCAGACUCCUACGGGAGGCAGCAGUGGGGAAUAUUGCACAAUGGGCGGAAGCCUGAUGCAGCAACGCCGCGUGAGGGAUGACGGCCUUCGGGUUGUAAACCUCUUUUAGCAGGGAAGAAGCUUUUGUGACGGUACCUGCAGAAAAAGCGCCGGCUAACUACGUGCCAGCCGCCGCCGUAA